UAAAAAUUUUAUGAUUUAAAAAAUUUAAUUUAAAUUUGAUUUACAUAUAAAUUUUAGUAUGAAUUUUAUAUUAUUUUAAUAAUAAUAUAUAAUUAAAGUAGUAAUUAAUAUUAAAAAUUUAAGAAAUUAAGAUUUAGUAAUAUUUAUAAUUAUGGACAAAUUUUGUGCCAGCAGUUGCGGUUAUACAAAAUAUAAUUUAAAUUUUAUUAGUUAAUAAUAAUUAAUAAUUUUAAUUAAAAUUAAAUAAAAAAAAUUAUUAGGUGAAAUUUUAAUUUAUUUUAAAUUUUAAAUUAAAUUAUGUUUUAUAAAAUUUUAAAUAAAAACUAGGAUUAGAUACCCUAUUAUUAAAAAUUAAUUAUAAUACUAAAAUAAUAGGUAAUAAUUUAUUGAAACUUAAAUAAGUUGGCGGUAUUUUAGUUCAUUUAGAGGAAUCUGUCUAAUAAUUGAUAAUCCACGAAUAAAUUUACUUAAUUUAUAAUUUUGUAUAUCGUUGUUAAAAAAAUAUUUAUAAAUAAAAAUAAUAUUUUAAAAUUUGGAAAAAAAUUAGUUCAGAUCAAGAUGCAGAUAAUAUUUAAGAAUAUGAUGGAUUACAAUAAUAAUUGGAAUAAUUAAAUGAAUAGUAUUUUGAAAGAAAUAUUUGAAGGUGGAUUUAAAUGUAAUUUUAUUUAUUUUAUUAAAAUGAUUUUAAAUUAAAAUAUGUACAUAUUGCCCGUCGCUUUCAUUUAUAAAUUGGAAUAAGUCGUAACAAAGUAGAGGUACUGGAAAGUGUUUCUAGAAAGAA
RNAcentral lists this ribosomal RNA (781 nucleotides) under Graphium agetes. Its description in RNAcentral is "12S ribosomal RNA". The record is from RNAcentral. Lineage: Eukaryota; Metazoa; Arthropoda; Insecta; Lepidoptera; Papilionidae.